Molecule: ribosomal RNA, 338 nt
Filed under: Taxus florinii
Lineage: Eukaryota; Viridiplantae; Streptophyta; Pinopsida; Cupressales; Taxaceae
Description: eukaryotic LSU rRNA
Rfam family: 5.8S ribosomal RNA (bases 1-66)
Source: RNAcentral
UCAUCGAGUCUUUGAACGCAAGUUGCGCCCGAGGCCUCGGCCGAGGGCACGUCUGCUUGGGCGUCGCACUCUAAAAUCGACUUCCCCCGUUCCUCGGCGGGAGGAUCGGAGAUGGCUGUCCGUGCCCACCAGCGGCGCGGUCGGCUUAAAUGGGCACGAGAUUUGUGGCCGAUGUCACGAUGAGCGGUGGCCAAUGUUGGUCGGCGUUGGAUUGUGGCACGAGGUCACGGAUUUGUGCGGAACUUUACUCGUUGUUAGUCGCGACUCUUCCGCGGGAGGGUGCGUCCCAACUUUCGCGGCCCCAGGUCAGGCGUGAGUACCCGCUGAGUUUAAGCAUA